UAGGGAAUCUUCCGCAAUGGGCGAAAGCUUGACGGAGCAACGCCGCGUGAGUGAUGAAGGUCUUCGGAUCGUAAAACUCUGUUAUUAGGGAAGAACAAAUGUGUAAGUAACUAUGCACGUCUUGACGGUACCUAAUCAGAAAGCCACGGCUAACUACGUGCCAGCAGCCGCGGUAAUACGUAGGUGGCAAGCGUUAUCCGGAAUUAUUGGGCGUAAAGCGCGCGUAGGCGGUUUUUUAAGUCUGAUGUGAAAGCCCACGGCUCAACCGUGGAGGGUCAUUGGAAACUGGAAAACUUGAGUGCAGAAGAGGAAAGUGGAAUUCCAUGUGUAGCGGUGAAAUGCGCAGAGAUAUGGAGGAACACCAGUGUCGAAGGCGACUUUCUGGUCUGUAACUGACGCUGAUGUGCGAAAGCGUGGGGAUCAAACAGG
This 429-nucleotide ribosomal RNA is filed under the name Actinomycetes bacterium. RNAcentral's name for it is "Actinobacteria bacterium partial 16S ribosomal RNA". It matches the Rfam family "Bacterial small subunit ribosomal RNA", at positions 355 to 776 of the family's 1533-position model. The record is from RNAcentral. Lineage: Bacteria; Bacillati; Actinomycetota; Actinomycetes.